UACGAAGGGGGCUAGCGUUGCUCGGAAUUACUGGGCGUAAAGGGCGCGUAGGCGGACAUUUAAGUCAGAGGUGAAAGCCCAGGGCUCAACCUUGGAACUGCCUUUGAUACUGGAUGUCUUGAGUUCGGGAGAGGUGAGUGGAAUGCCGAGUGUAGAGGUGAAAUUCGUAGAUAUUCGGCGGAACACCAGUGGCGAAGGCGACUCACUGGCCCGAUACUGACGCUGAGGCGCGAAAGCGUGGGGAGCAAACAGG
RNAcentral lists this ribosomal RNA (253 nucleotides) under uncultured bacterium. Its description in RNAcentral is "partial 16S ribosomal RNA". It matches the Rfam family "Bacterial small subunit ribosomal RNA", at positions 524 to 776 of the family's 1533-position model. The record is from RNAcentral. RNAcentral also lists the same sequence under 1 other name.